RNAcentral lists this unclassified non-coding RNA (935 nucleotides) under Hevea brasiliensis (rubber tree). Lineage: Eukaryota; Viridiplantae; Streptophyta; Magnoliopsida; Malpighiales; Euphorbiaceae. The record is from RNAcentral.
ACUAGUUAAUAUGUAUGCAAAGUGUGGGUGUAUAGAGAAGGCAAAAGAAAUUUUUGAUGAGAUGCCAGUAAAGGAUAGUAAAGCUUGGAGCUCAAUGAUUGUUGGCUUGGCCAUUCAUGGACUUGCAGAGGAUGCAUUAGAGGUAUUUUCAAGGAUGGAAGAAGCAAAGGCCAAGCCGAACCAUGUAACCUUCAUUGGUAUUUUAUCUGCAUGCGCCCGUGGUGGACUAGUUUCAGAAGGAAAGAGACAUUGGUCGAGAAUGCUUGAAUUGGGAAUAGAACCUUCAAUGGAGCAUUAUGGUUGUAUGGUUGAUUUACUAUGCCGUGGAGGCCUUGUUGACGAGGCCUACAAUUUUGCGCUAUCCACACCCUCACCAAAUCCAGUGAUAUGGCGAACGUUACUUGUGGGCUACAAGAAAAGUAGGAUGUUACAACAAGCUGAAAUUGUUGCCGAGCAACUACUUGAACUAGAACCACUAAAUGCAGAAAAUUAUAUCAUUCUUUCAAAUUUGUAUGCCACUGUUUCACAGUGGGAGAAGAUGAGCCAUGUGAGAAAGAAGAUGAAGGAAAAAGGCAUCAAGGCAGUGCCCGGAUGCACCUCUAUUGAGAUUGAUGGCUUUUUGCAUGAGUUCGUAAUGGGUGAUUGGUCACACCCUGAGGCAGAGGAAAUAAAAAGAACUCUGAAGGAUGUAUCUGUGAGGAUUCAUAGUACUGGGUAUGAGCCAUGUGUGUCUUCUGUGCUGCAUAAUGUGGAUGAUGAAGAGAGAGAGAAUUCUCUGUCUGAGCACAGUGAGAGGCUGGCCAUCGCUUAUGGCCUGCUGAAGACUAAAGCACCAGCAGCAAUUAGGAUAGUUAAGAAUCUGACAGUUUGUUGGGACUGCCAUGAAGUGACGAAAAUUAUCAGUAGAGUUUAUAACCGGGAAAUUAUUGUAAGGG